UGAAUUUCACCUAAUCGUUAUGAACUUAUAUUCACAAGUAGUGAAGGUUGCUAGUCACAAUCACGUUAAGUAAAUUCUUGGCAUAAGUUUCAUGCAAAUCAUAGUAACGAGUGCCUCGUCAAUGCUUAUGUUUUUCAUAGAACUUAAUGAUUCUUGCUUGUAUCUCUAUUAUGCAAUUCAUGUAGGGACUUGUAGGGAAUGUUUUGGGUUGUCGUAUGCAAUCAUCCAACCCAAUAACUUGUGGAAAAACUGAGGGUUAAUUAGUGCAAUUCACGGUUAAUUUGGGACGUUGAGAUUUACAAUUUAUUGAAAGAACAACUGAAAAUCAUUUUGUAUGCAAGUAUAACAUGUGUGGAGAAGAACCCUCUAGCUAGUCCGUCAUUUAUCAUUUCAUCUUAAUUUCAUGUUUUUGUAAAUUCUGUAAUUUAUUUAAGUUUAAUUUACUUCUUGUUAAAACCAAACACCCCAUCCAUUAUUAAAUUAUAUUAUUUAGUUAGUUUUCAUUAUUGUUAGUCUUUUAAUUAAAUUUCCGUCCAUUUCAGUUCUUAGUGUUUAAUUAGAUCAUUUUCAUUAUUUUGAGUCAUCCUAAGUGUGUUUCGAGUUAUUAGAGUUUUUAGCCUAGUUUUGUAUCCUUGAGUCUUGUUUAAUAUUUUUAAAUUAAUUUAGAAUAGAUUAGCAAUCCCUCCUAAUCUCCGGCCUAGAACGAUACCCUACUUACAUCUAUACUACAAUUGUCAAAAAGAGGGUUUAAUUUGUGUGUCAAGUAAUUCUCACAUCAGGGGUGUGUCAGUUUGAUAUCAGAGCAUAAGUUUGGGCAGUAUUAUGUUCAUCACAUGCGUGAUGUAAACAUUCUUGAUUCUUGAGCCUAAUUUUCGAAUCUUGCCACCUAGUCGAGCAUGAAAAAAUGUGUUAAGUUUUUCUAAGUUUUGAAUGACUUAGACAACUUAUCGACAUUCUAGAACAUCAUUUUGGCGGACGUCUUUAGACAUUAAAUGAAGAAAUCGCAUGCCAAGGAAAAUCCCGAUUUGGUAUGAGUUGAAGGUCCCGAAGUAGGGCUAAUGUAUCGAUAGUUUUGUAUCACCAAAGACUUACCACUCAAUCCCAUCAUUAUUCUCACACCAUAAUUACCAACCCUUUUGAGAUAGGAAACCAUAAAUAGUUUUGAUUCCUUGGUAGUACCCACUAGAAUACCACCUACUAGAAUUCCUACGAAGUUUUACUUUUGUCAAAAUUAUAAAUAAAUAAAAUAAAAUAAAAUAAAAUAAAAAAUAAUUUGAGUGGCAAUGUGGUGCUAUAGUGGUAACACUCAGUGGAAGAACAUCUGGGGGACAAUCACUUUUGGUACCCGAUAGCACUACUCUUCUCAAACACACUAGUUAUCAUUCUGGAUCUUCAAGAGGAAGAUCAAUUUCCAUUUAAGUCCAUUCUAAGGUAAGUUAUUAGCAAAUUCCUUUUUCCAACCUUUGGCCGUUCCAAUCAACACUAUUCCCAGAUUUCCUUUCGAUGUUGUACUCGUCAUUUCAAUGAGUGUAGGCAUGGGAAUACGAGUUAUUAUACCUAUAGUUAGUAGAAAUCCCUGUGUAGGAAGUGUUUUCCCUACAACCAACGGAACCACCUCACAGGACCAGUAUCUUACCAGUCAUCUGAAACUAUCCACCUGAGCGAGCUUUAAUUUGUAAUCAGUCUAUUGUGGCACUACUAAUUGACGAUAUUGUCCGAUAUCCAAGAACUGUCAACCAGUAUUCAGGCGGUAUGAUUUUUGAUACCGGACACAUGCUAGUAUUUGGGAGUGAUACCUUUGUGCCAGAACACCAGUUCACAAUUUCAGGGUAAUGAACAAUAUCAAGUUAUCAUAUAUGCAUUCAUUAGCGGUGCGGAUGAUAGAUUGAUUAACAAUGACUAUCUAAGCUGAAGAAAUUAAAUCGUGGAAACUUAGGAGCAAUUUUUGUGUUAGGACAGUAAACUCAUAGUUGUUUUUGCCUUAUCACCUAUCUAGGUAAACAAAACCUCUUCGAGUAGGCAUCUUUUUUAUCACUUCCACAAGUAGAUAGUAGAAUCAAAGUACGAUUUAAUUUCUCACUGUUAGGGUGAAUUAGGUAUUGAGAAAACUGUGAAGACCUUUUAGUUCGUGUCGUAGAGUUGGGAAGUAGUAUGGUACGUUUUGAGGACAUAUUUCCAGGCGUUAUACUCCAAAAUUUUACUAGAGUUAUCACCAAAUUGUGAAGUAAGAUACAUUAUUGACCUAUUUUCUAAUACAACACCUAUUCUCCUUGCAUCUUAUCGAACGACUCAUAUAGCUUUGAGAAAACUUAGUUAAAAAAGCUUAUUGAUUAGGAAUUAUCCAACCCAAACUAUUAUCGCGAAGAAAUAUAGCUUAAAAAAAGCUUAUUGAUUAGGAAUUAUCCAACCCAACACUUCGCCUUAAGGAACCUCAAACCUAACCGCGAAGGCAAAAUACCGAACUUUAGGUUUGUACCUAGACUUGAACGAGUGAUGAUUAAAACCGUUAACCCCUACUUCAAGUUGAUGGUCAAUCCGACCAACUUUUGGAACUCAAGUUUUCUUCUGUGGCUUGUCGAAUUUGUAGUGGUCUUACCGAUGACUUUCUCACCUUCCAUAGCAACUAGAGCGAAUUUUCUAAACACCGACAGUCAGCUUUAUACCAAAUUCCCCAAAUAUUACCUUAGUUUAGAUUGGUACUUUUCUUAGGAGACAUGAUCUCAGCAGAUGACAUUCUUGUCAAUUUCCAAAAAGGUUUUAAAUGUAGAAAAAUUUCAUAUUCCAUAAAUCGUUGUGAAAUAUGCGAUAUCCUUGGCCUUGUUGAUGUUAUCAGUAGUUUGUUAGUGACUUUUCAGUGGUGGCGUUUUUCCUUUCAUGUUGGCCAAGGAAAAAUCAGUUUAGUUGAGAUGUGGAAUAUGGUUAAAGUUGUAACAACUGAAGUGUUGUCUAUUUUGUACCCUUGUUCAUACAUUUCGAUGACAUCGAUGAUUUCGGAAAUCCAAGAUAACGUUUCCUCUGGAUGUUUUAGAUGUGUGGGGGCAGGAUGACGGGAUAUCACUUUUGUUCCCCAAUGUUUGGAAUCGUUCGAAAUGAACCAUCUUAUUCAUGACCUAGAGUCAACAGUUAUCAUCUUCAUUUGAAAACCGGAUGACACUUCUCUGUGGAGAAACGUGUCCAAAAUCUUCACCAAUCUCACAAACUAUAAAUUAGGAUAACAUAUAUAUAUAUAUAUAUAUAUAUAUAUAUAUAAUUUCCAUAUAGACGAAAUUCAUGCAACUAUACUACGUCCUACGGGAUGCACAGGUAUGCGUAUUAGUAUGGAUGCUUUAAUAGUAAUUACGAUCAUGAAUAGCAUUUCAUUGACUAGGGUUAUUGAAUUAUCGUAUUAUCAAUUUACCAUUGCAUGAUAAUAUUUGUGUUAUCUGCUCAUCGUUUACUGCACAGGUGUUAGUACUCGCACAUACACAUUGCACCUUACACUCACUUUGGAUCCAUUGUAGGUGUCAGUCUUGUCCUAGAUUGCUAUAGGCAAUUAGGAAUCAUAUGUGCUACGCAUAUCGCCAGUCUUCACGUGAUUGUAGUACUAGAGCGUAUAUCAUUGUUACACCUAGUCCUGUUCAUGUCAAAAUAUCUCUGCAUGAACUCGUGUGUCAGCAUGUGUCGAUGAACACUCGAUAUGAUAUGUUUGCUUAUGCGAGAUUAUGUGAUUACGGACGUCAUGCGCUUAUUUACGAAAUAUUGUACCGUUUUGAAUUCUUGAGAUAUUGCAGGCUACAGUAAGUAUUUUCUUACUAUACGUAGUAUGCAUAUUUUGGAAACUAUACUUAUUUUACAGCGAGGGGUUACUAUGUUUUCGAAAAGGUUUUUACAAAACUUUAUUUUUAGGCCCACUCACCCUUGUUUUUUCACCCCUCCAGGUUUUAGUAGCUGAGCUUUCGUAUCGAUGAGGAUUCUUGGCAAAUCUUGGUAUAGGUGGUUACCUUCGAUGGUAUAAUUCUUAUCCUACUUUACUGUACUUUACUUAUGCUUUGACAUCACGUGUGAAAUGGGUUCAUUCCCGCUCACACGCGUACU
Molecule: long non-coding RNA, 4074 nt
Filed under: Malus domestica (apple)
Lineage: Eukaryota; Viridiplantae; Streptophyta; Magnoliopsida; Rosales; Rosaceae
Description: long non-coding RNA (MDOM_LNC019926)
Source: RNAcentral